GACGAACGCUGGCGGCGUGCCUAAUACAUGCAAGUAGAACGCUGAAGGAGGAGCUUGCUUCUCUGGAUGAGUUGCGAACGGGUGAGUAACGCGUAGGUAACCUGCCUGGUAGCGGGGGAUAACUAUUGGAAACGAUAGCUAAUACCGCAUAAGAGUAGAUGUUGCAUGACAUUUGCUUAAAAGGUGCAAUUGCAUCACUACCAGAUGGACCUGCGUUGUAUUAGCUAGUUGGUGGGGUAACGGCUUACCAAGGCGACGAUACAUAGCCGACCUGAGAGGGGGAUCGGCCACACUGGGACUGAGACACGGCCCAGACUCCUACGGGAGGCAGCAGUAGGGAAUCUUCGGCAAUGGACGGAAGUCUGACCGAGCAACGCCGCGUGAGGGAAGAAGGUUUUCGGAUCGUAAAGCUCGGUUGUAAGAGAAGAACGAGUGUGAGAGUGGAAAGUUCACACUGUGACGGUAUCUUACCAGAAAGGGACGGCUAACUACGUG
Molecule: ribosomal RNA, 495 nt
Filed under: uncultured bacterium
Lineage: Bacteria
Description: partial 16S ribosomal RNA
Rfam family: Bacterial small subunit ribosomal RNA
Source: RNAcentral